Long non-coding RNA from Eriocheir sinensis (Chinese mitten crab), 1871 nucleotides. RefSeq lists it as uncharacterized. Lineage: Eukaryota; Metazoa; Arthropoda; Malacostraca; Decapoda; Varunidae. The transcript is spliced from 2 exons. The record is from RefSeq and is a predicted model, not a curated record.
AUCAAGGAUGUGUGUGGGGGUGUGAGGAAGGUGAUUGAUUCGUCUGAGAAUGAUGGAUGAAUGGCUAGAUAAAUGCAUAUGGGUUUGGUCAGAGAAUGGAUGGAUAGAUCUAGAUGAAUGCACACCAGUUUGUCAGAAUAGAUGGAUAGACAGAUGGAUACAUGCAUGCAGGUUCAGUUAUAGAAUAUGAAUAGAUAAGAGAUAUAUAUACCGGUUGAAGGAUAGGUCAUAAGUUUGAGUUGAUUGAUAAGACGAGUUAGUUCGGUGAAUGAGGAAAGGUGUGUCAACUUGAAUUGAUGAGAUGAAGAACACUCAAAAGAGAUGAAUUGUUGAAGAAUGUAAAAUUGAUAGAUAAGGUUAGUUCGGUGGAUAAGGAAAGGGAUGUUGAUGAAGUUGAUGGGAGGAAUGGAAGAUUACAAGGUUCAUAGGUAAGAUUGUUAACCCGGUAGCAGCGACGGGCUAAAUUUGUGCCAUGAUAUAAACCCACUAAAAUAGAUGAUACACAAACUGAUCACAAAUGCGUUGAUAUAUAUAUUAUGAAAUGGUUUGUGUGAGUGAUGAUUUUUUUCUCAUUUUUCUCGCUUAGAGGGGCCUUUAAGAAACAUGAUCCCCGCUGCUACCAGGUUAAGUCAAGGGGGGUUUACAGUGGGUGUGGGAGGAGGGUGGGGAAGGGUAUUGAUGAAGGUGAACCAGAAAAUAGAUUGAUAGGUAGAUGGAUAGAGAGGAUUGUCAAGUUGGUGAAAAAGGGUUGCAGUGGAUAAAGAAGGGUGAAGAGGAUGGUUAAUGGAUAUGGAUAGAGAAGAUUGUCAAGUUGGCGGAAGAGUGAAGAGGAUGUUUAGUGGAUAGGUAGAUGGAUAGAGAAGAUUAUCAGGUUGGCGGAAGAGCUGUGGAUGAACAAUGAUAGGAGUGUAGGUGGAUGCACAAUUGGGUUAUCAGUGUUGUGUUAAUAGGUUGUACAGCAGGAAGAAAAGGUUUGGGAUUACGAUAGAAGGGAAACAGAUGGAGUAAUGUAUGAUAUCAGGUAGGGAAUGCAUGGGAGAAACAUUGGAGAGGAGAAAAAAGGGAAGAGCAAGGAGAAGGUUUGGGAUUACUGUAGAAGGGCAACAGUCCAGAAUUGGUGUAUGAUGUCACCUUGGCUCAUUGAUUUGUUAAGGAAAGGUAAGGAACAUAGAAGUGGAGGGAAGAGGAGCAAAAUGUGAACAACGAGAAGGGAGAUACAUGUAGGAGAGGAGAGGGGAGUGAGUGGACAGGGAGGGAUAGAGAUUCAAUUAUCGCUGCCAUUCCCUAUAUGAUUGGCACUUCUGAGGGGAAUAGGACAUUAUAUCUUGACAGUCAAUUGUAUGAUAGUUGAAUAGGGUUGAUGGAGAUGGAUGAAUGUAUUAAGAGAAAAGCAAUUAGGAGUGGUUUGGUAGAUGAAUGGAUUAAGUUCUAUGAAGUGGUGGGAAUAGGGGUUAGGAAUAGCUGGAUAAUGUUUAAUAAGAUAGAUAAACAGGCUGGGUCUCUCUCUCUCUCUCUCUCUCUCUCUCUCUCUCUCUCUCUCUCUCUCUCUCUCUCUCUCUCUCUCUCUUUCUCUCUCUCUCUUUCUCUCUCUCUCUCUCUCUGUCUCUCUCUCUCUGUCUCAGAUAACUGAGUGAAGGUUAUAAUGACAUGCUGAUUGGGUGGAGUAGGCAAGGAGUGUGUGUGGAGGGAGGGAGGGAGGGAGGCAGCGUGGAUAACAACUGAAGACUGAACGAGAUGAACCAACUUGGCUUUGUCAAUGCUUGUAAACAUUGAUUGUAUAAACUUUAUAAACCUGUCAGUAAUCUUAGUAAACUCUUAAUAAACAUGUUAAACUUUCAUUAUUUAACUUUAAAACUUCAUACAUUUUCAUG